AUGGAGGUGGGUGCCUCCGUGGCAUUUUGGGAGAUUUAUCCUCGAUCCCCACUUGGCACAAAGCCCACGGUUUCAAAGGAAGCCGCAGUUGUACUUUGCACUUUGCAGAGAGAGGGGCAACAUCCCAUUGAGUUGGUUAUAGAUGACAAAUUGAAGGAUGCAAUUGAACGGUUGCCGAAGUCAGGCGGAAUAUUGCAUGUUAGCUCGUUGUUGGACAAAACAAGGAUUACCAGUGAUGAAAUCAUCUUAAUUCCCCAUGCCAGUAUUGCACUUGAUAUACAAUUGUUACUGAGGUCAAGUGAUUUGAGAUUCUGCAACAAGUAA
This 324-nucleotide ribosomal RNA is filed under the name Triticum aestivum (bread wheat). RNAcentral describes it as "partial small subunit ribosomal RNA". The record is from RNAcentral. Lineage: Eukaryota; Viridiplantae; Streptophyta; Magnoliopsida; Poales; Poaceae.